ACGAACGCUGGCGGCGUGCCUAAUACAUGCAAGUCGAGCGGACGGAUGGGAGCUUGCUCCCAGACCGUCAGCGGCGGACGGGUGAGUAACACGUGGGCAACCUGCCUGUAAGACUGGGAUAACUCCGGGAAACCGGGGCUAAUACCGGAUAACUCUUUCCCUCACAUUAGGGAAAGCUGAAAGAUGGCAUCUCGCUAUCACUUACAGAUGGGCCCGCGGCGGAUUAGCUAGUUGGUGAGGUAACGGCUCACCAAGGCGACGAUGCGUAGCCGACCUGAGAGGGUGAUCGGCCACACUGGGACUGAGACACGGCCCAGACUCCUACGGGAGGCAGCAGUAGGGAAUCUUCCGCAAUGGACGAAAGUCUGACGGAGCAACGCCGCGUGAGUGAUGAAGGUUUUCGGAUCGUAAAACUCUGUUGUCAGGGAAGAACAAGUGCCGGAGCAACUGCCGGUACCUUGACGGUACCUGACCAGAAAGCCACGGCUAACUACGUG
RNAcentral lists this ribosomal RNA (497 nucleotides) under uncultured bacterium. RNAcentral describes it as "partial 16S ribosomal RNA". It matches the Rfam family "Bacterial small subunit ribosomal RNA", at positions 29 to 507 of the family's 1533-position model. The record is from RNAcentral.